Molecule: long non-coding RNA, 326 nt
Organism: Sinocyclocheilus rhinocerous
Lineage: Eukaryota; Metazoa; Chordata; Actinopteri; Cypriniformes; Cyprinidae
Exons: 4
Source: RefSeq, a predicted model, not a curated record
AUACACCUGCUCUGUCACACACCUCAGUCUGGACAACAAACUGGACAUUGAGUUGGAAUUUGACCCUGGUGAACCAUUUAAAUCAGUGAUUACUUCAGUGCUGAUAGUUUUGGCUCUGGUGUUGGUGUUUGGGACUCUGGUGUUGGUGUCUGGAAUCAUCAUAUGUAAAUGCAGAAGGAGACGAGCAGCUUCCUUAAAGAGUGAUUAUUCUGCUGCUUCUACAUCUGAAGAAAACAUGGACCCAGCAUCUUGAAGUUUAUGUCAAUUCUAUGAAGCUACUUUUUGUUUUCCAUAUUUUACUGUAGAUUAAUACAAAUGUUCAAAGU